Molecule: long non-coding RNA, 896 nt
Filed under: Olea europaea subsp. europaea
Lineage: Eukaryota; Viridiplantae; Streptophyta; Magnoliopsida; Lamiales; Oleaceae
Source: RNAcentral
UAAAGACUAAGCCCUUGUUUAAGCCCCAUUCUUUUGAAAAAAAAAAAAUUGCAUUUUUCAAUAGUAUUUUAAUAUCAGUUCAACCACACAUUUUUCAAUAAAAUAAUAUUACACGUAAAUUCAAAACUUUUCUUAUUUUUUAACCACACAUUUCUCAUCAAUACACUAUUUAAAAAUUCAUUCUUUCUCUUGACAUGGGGCUUAAACAAGGGCUAAAUAAACAAAUUACUUAUUUAUGUUCAUAUUUGUCUCUCUUUAAAACAAAUUUUUUUUUUUAAUGUUUAUACUCAUUUUUAACCACAAAUUCACAUAAUAAAAUAUUUUAUAAGUAAAUUCAAAAAAAUUUCUAUUUUUUAAUCAAACAUUCUAAAAAAAAAAUCACAAUUCAAAAAAACUUUUUUUCCUAAUAUUGACCCUCAAAUAAGGACUUUACAUUCUAGUACUUUCUUUUACAGGCCAAACACUUACUAAUAUGAACUAGACGUCGUAACGUGAGUUACAAGAGUUUUGUAAUUUUUGUUUAGGGAUGGGUAAGUAGUAUAUAUGAUACUAAAACUAUAUAUUUAUUUUUCAACUGCUAAUUGGGCUUGCAUAAUUGUAUAAAAAAUUGAAAACAAAGUAAAAAUUUGAAGUUUUUUAAAAAAAUAGAAAAAAAAUAGUACCUAGUAUAGCGUUGAAAAUGCAUUAUAGUGAUUAUUAGGUAUAUACUAGAAAUACCUCGGGAUUGGAAAGAAGAGUAUAAGGAGUGAUAUUGCAUAAGAAGUGUGAGAAAAAACCGACCACUAGAGAAUGAGAUUACUAUUAAGUCAAUAAUACUUGUUGGUUGUGUUCUAAUAUAGGUAUAAGUUCAAUUAUUGGCUAAUCGCGUGCGCACGCGCACACACAGAGACACUCUA